AUUAAAGUGGCAGAAAAUAUGCCAGGAAUUUAAGCUUCCUUUAUGAUUUAUUCCUUUAAUA
Molecule: transfer RNA, 61 nt
Filed under: Haemaphysalis colasbelcouri
Lineage: Eukaryota; Metazoa; Arthropoda; Arachnida; Ixodida; Ixodidae
Description: tRNA-Leu
Source: RNAcentral